This 85-nucleotide transfer RNA is filed under the name Candidatus Firestoneibacteriota bacterium. Its description in RNAcentral is "tRNA-Leu". It matches the Rfam family "tRNA". Rfam says of the family: Transfer RNA (tRNA) molecules are approximately 80 nucleotides in length. Lineage: Bacteria; Candidatus Firestoneibacteriota. The record is from RNAcentral.
GCGAGGGUGGUGGAACUGGCAGACACGCUAGACUUAGGAUCUAGUGCUUCACGGCAUGCGGGUUCAACUCCCGCCCCUCGCACCA